UAAGAGGUCCUGCCUGCCCUGUGACUUAACGUUUAACGGCCGCGGUAUUUUGACCGUGCGAAGGUAGCGCAAUCACUUGUCUCUUAAAUGGGGACCUGUAUGAAUGGCAUAACGAGGGUUUAACUGUCUCCUUUCCCAAGUUAAUGAAAUUGAUCUCCCCGUGCAGAAGCGGGGAUAAAAACGUAAGACGAGAAGACCCUAUGGAGCUUUAGGCAACAAGCAGAUCACACCCAAACAACCCUAAUAAAGGAAAAAACACACUGAGCCCUGCCCUAAUGCCUUUGGUUGGGGCGACCGCGGGGAAACAAAAAACCCCCAUGUGGAAUGGGACUACGUCCUCCAAAAAAGAGCCCCCGCUCUAAAAAACAGAACAUCUGACCUCUAAGAUCCGGUUGCCGAUCAACGGACCGAGUUACCCUAGGGAUAACAGCGCAAUCCCCUUAUAGAGCCCAUAUCGACAAGGGGGUUUACGACCUCGAUGUUGGAUCAGGAUAUCCUAAUGGUGCAGCCGCUAUUAAGGGUUCGUU
Molecule: ribosomal RNA, 527 nt
Filed under: Balistes vetula (queen triggerfish)
Lineage: Eukaryota; Metazoa; Chordata; Actinopteri; Tetraodontiformes; Balistidae
Description: partial 16S ribosomal RNA
Rfam family: Bacterial large subunit ribosomal RNA
Source: RNAcentral